This 406-nucleotide ribosomal RNA is filed under the name uncultured rumen bacterium. RNAcentral describes it as "bacterial SSU rRNA". It matches the Rfam family "Bacterial small subunit ribosomal RNA", at positions 354 to 776 of the family's 1533-position model. The record is from RNAcentral.
GUGGGGAAUAUUGCACAAUGGGCGAAAGCCUGAUGCAGCAACGCCGCGUGAAGGAUGAAGGUCUUCGGAUCGUAAACUUCUGUCCUUGGGGAAGAAGAUCUGACGGUACCCAUGGAGGAAGCCCCGGCUAACUACGUGCCAGCAGCCGCGGUAAUACGUAGGGGGCGAGCGUUAUCCGGAAUUAUUGGGCGUAAAGAGUGCGUAGGUGGUUCUUUAAGCGAGAGGUUUAAGGCUAUGGCUUAACCAUAGUUCGCCUCCCGAACUGAAGGACUUGAGUGCAGGAGAGGAAAGCGGAAUUCCUAGUGUAGCGGUGAAAUGCGUAGAUAUUAGGAGGAACACCAGUGGCGAAGGCGGCUUUCUGGACUGAAACUGACACUGAGGCACGAAAGCGUGGGGAGCAAACAGG